AUACUUGUCAUUUCACAAGUAUUAUUUAGGCAUAUUUUUCCCGUGGUUGGCUUAUUAUAUAUAGAAGUAGAUUGUUCUCGCCAAUUCAGUGGUGCGGAUAAAAAUGUUUGAUUCUUCUACAUACAUACCAAAAUUUAAUAUUUUUAUAUUAAUUCCCUAAUUUUUCUAAAUUAAUAUAUUUAUCAAUUCGCAGUUUCAGACCGAUACCGGAAGGAUAUGAUAAUAAAAUUUUCAUUUUAUAAAUUUCUUGUACAUUAAUCAAUACUAUGUUCUCUGUUCUUCCACCAAUAACUUCAUGAAAACAUUAACUUUGGCACCUAAGCAAAUCCUACAGAAAUCUGUAGACAACUGGUAAACUAAGAAAAAUCAUUCCAAAGUACAGACUCGAUCUUGGGUUAACAAACACAUAUUAUACAUCGUUUAGCUCAAUAAAUAAAUAGACAAAUAUAAAAACUACUUCAAGUAACUUGCACGUGCUGAACAUCAUCGAUUUUAAGUCUUUUGAGCCCUGAUUUUACAUGGGAAUAAGUAUAAGACAAUAUUGUAAAGAAUACAUAUGCAGAACUGCAUGGAAGAAGGUUAUCACUUUUAACUCGGUUCUUGCGAUUUCAAAAGUUCCACGAUGUGCUGCUUCGUUCCUUUUAUCUUUCUCUUUGUAGAAGCCAGUUUAAUUUUCAUAUUACCUUCUUGGUUAUCUUUUGUACAAGUGGUAUUGCAAGUGUUUUCAGAUUAAAAGCUAAGAGAAAACACCUUUAAAGUUAAAUUCUCAAAUUUUUAAUAUUUAAUCAAUGAUGGACAACAAAAACCAAUAUGAUGAUUAAUUCCUAACAACAAUCUUAUCAUGUCUUUUUAGAAAUAAAAUGAUAUACAGGUAUGGGAAAAAAGACGCAAGAACUACAGGUUAAACUAAUAUAUUUGGGUCAAUGCAUAAUUAUAGGGAAAUCAUUUAUAUGUUAAUGAAUUAAGUAAGAAGUAGAUCUACCUUCAGCAAUUGUGUGCUCUUCUGAUGUUCUCUCGCACACAGUUGGCCGAGUCACAAGGAAUCCCUCGCAGUGGUCACAAAUUAUCUCCCAUUUAAUAGGUGCAAUUUCAUUAAAUGGGUUGCCAGCCUUUGGGUUCUUUUGCCUCAUAUCAGCUGCAUGACCACUGGACACAAAGAGUACAUUGGACAUAUAAAGCUUGUUAGAGAGAUAAAGAUUGAAUGUCAUGAUUUUGCAUAUACUGUAUGAAGUUUGUACAUGUAACAAAUAAUUUUUGUUAGUCUUACAAAUAUCAAGCAAAGUGGGAAUUCCGCAACGAAUAUGUUGGCAUUUCUCGUUGUCCACUUUGAGGCGGGUUUGGUAGAACUACUGUUUUCCCUUGCCAACCUGACAUAAUGAAUUUCAAUAUUUCACGAAUUACAUAUUCUAUGCAUUAAUUAAAAAAUUGACAGAUAUGAGAGUACUUAAAUAUUAAUAUAUGUGCUCUUAGAUAUCACAACAAAUAAAGUUCAUAUGGAAACUUAUAAAAGUAAAUGCACAACAUACAUAUAUAAUUGAUCCCAAUUGCACGAUAGCGCUGAUUCAAAUGGAUCCUCCCUCGAUGUUUUAAUUUAAAUAAGAGGCCAUUUGGAGACAUGCAUUUCAUUUCAAAUGACAAGAUUUAAGUUGUCAUUUCAAACACUCAAAUUUAUACAAAUAUUUGAAUGUCUGGAUUUCAAAUGAAAUCCAAAUCCACAUUCCCAAUCAGAUUAUUUGAUCAAAUCCAAAAUUUCAAAUGAAAUCCAAUUUUCCAAACAGGCCAUAAAUGUAAUCCAACAAGAUACAAUAAAAUCUUAUCAACAAUAUCUGGAUUCUUAAUGACCAUUAAUCGUUCAAUUUCGAGAUUAUGGCUUCCCUUUAUCAUCUCUCCAAUAAGAGAAAGAAUUUUCAUAGAUAGAGAUCGAAAUGUGGUUUAGUUUUUCAAUUACCUUCCAUAUUAUAGUACAAGAAAAAGGGCGCUCAAAACUAACACAAAUCACCCACUUAUGUUAUGACAAAAUAUUCUGAUACAGCUAACCAACACAACCAAGGGCACAAUAUAUCAUAGGGUUAGUUACCAGCAUUCAAAACCCAUCAAUAAAUCUAACCACGUAUAUGUUCAAAACAGACCACAAAAAAUUCCGAUCAAGGACACGAUCUAUCAUCAGCAUAAAGCCGACCACUACCAAUUGUCACAUAUAUGUUCAAAACAGACCACAAUUAAAUGGCAUUUAGCUAGUCCAUUAAACAAGCCUUUCAUUACAAGUAUCAGAAUGUUACCCAAUCAGGCAGAUCAUUGUUUUGUUUUUCUGGAGCAUCUUCUUCAUUGUUUACUGCAAGAAGAAAUCUGAUAAUUAGUGUAUUUCAAAUUAGAUAAAUUAACUAUUAAACAAUCAGAAUUGAGAAAUCUAGGGCUUAAAAACACAACAUAUAUACCUGUUUUUAAACUUCGAAACAGAUAGCAUCACGAAACGAUUCAGCACUUUACACUCAAAUAGAUACAUACACACACGAUUAUCAUAGAUCGUUGCGGCGAUGCCCUAAUCUAGGCGAUGCCCUAAUGUAAUUGAGAAGCUGCCGCCUUAACCUACACGACGAGUGAUUUUAUACCUAAAAAUAAAUUGGGUUAACUAAAAGGCCUGGGCUUUCUUACGAGUAUUGGAUUUUUCCGUGAGUUAUUUUAUAAAAGGUCCAAGUACAUGUCAUACAUAACUCAUGGGCUUUCUUAUGAGUAAUGGACUUUUUCGUGAGUUAUUUUAUAAAGGGUCCAGGUACAUGCUAUACAAUAUACAUAAUUCAGGACCACAGCUUCUUGGCCAUUGGAUCUAGCGAUGAGAAUUAUAACAAAAAUUUGAUAUGUCCGGCGCAAGAAGAAAGACCCUCAACGCUUUUUAACUGUUGGACAGGAAAAAUGACCAUGUCCAUGAUUAAAAAACGCCGGACAUAACUUGUUCCGUGCUUAAAAAAUGCUAUCAUGACUCUUGAAUAUUCAUCGAACGGUCAUAAACCAGUGUGUUGGUUAAGGCUUCCUCGCAUACAUAUGUCAGGGACCAACUCCCUUUAUACAAUGUGUCGGUAGAUAGAGUAGAAAGGCUAGGAUAAAAUAAUGAGAAUUGAGAACAAAUAUGUCAUUGUUAGCUUAGCGUUAAGUGUCCAAAAUUUAUUCCUAUAUUUUUUCUCAAAUCUAUUGGAUAAUGUGCGAUUGAUUACUUAUAUAAUAAUAAAUAUGUAUAUAAAUCACCCAGUUAAAAUCCGUCAUGUGGUUUGGGAAAAAUAAAAUUGAGGACGAAUUUUGAGGUACAUAGUAUUUUUCCAAACAAAAUAUCAUUAUUAAAUCAAUAACAAGGAAUUUUUAUCCUCUUCAUAUCAAGGUUUAUAGCAUAUUUUUAUAAAUUUGCACAUAAUAAUUAUAUAUAUUUUUUAUACUUUUUAUGAAAUAAAAAGAGUCGUGAAUAUUUUUUGUCGAAAAAUAGUAAACGCAGUUAAACACCUCAUCACAAACAGAAAUAUCACAUGAGUACCCGCAAGGGUUAGUUCAGCUGGUUAAAGAGGGGACAUGUAUUCUCUUGGUCACACACUCAUAGGUUCGAGUCCCGAAGGGAGCGGGGUUCCUACGUUAAAAAAUAUAUAAAAUAAAAAAUAAAAAAAAUAUCACAUGAGUCAAUAUCCAUAAAUUAUAGUUAAAUUAUACGCAUUUUAACUAGUCUUAAUAAUUUACAAAAAUUAUUUACAAAUUUAUUAUAUAUCAUAAGAUUGAUCCAAGCCAGUGAAGAUAGUUAAGAUGAUUUUGGUAGUAGGUUGAAUAAUAUCAAAUCAUGUUAAAAAAUAACAUAGAAAAAAUUUACGUAUUCAAUUAUAAAUUUUAAAUAGAAAAUACCCGAAUAUCAUGUACUUCGAACCAUAAUCUAAUUCAGGUAAAUAUUUAUUUGGAUAUAAUUGAUUAUGGAUUAUCAAAAAUCUAGUAUUUCGAUUUUAUUUGGGUUAACUUUCCGAUUCACAUAUUUUUUUUUAUCAAAAUCAAAUCGAUUUUCGAAUUCUAAUCAAAUUUGAUUAUAUUAGAGCAUCUCCAACGACGUUGGUUAUAAUCGCUGGCUAAAUGGGACCUGUAAGACAUUAUGUAAAAUUUGCUAAACCUGUAAGAGCAUCUCCAACCAUCUAAAACCCUUGGCUAAAAAAUGAGUUGGCAUACUUAAAAUAAAAAAAUUUAGCCAACAGCUCCAAAACUCAACUCCAACCAUGCUCACCUGUUGUCUAUAAAUUUAGCCAACCUCCUAUGGAUGGCUAAAUUUGUCGAACCUCUACAGGUCUGUAAGAAAAUCUGUAAGAAGAUUAUACAUCAUUUAUUACCAUAUUGAACUGAUAUAUUAUAUUUUAACAAUUUAAAAUAUUAAUAACAUACUAUUUUUAAAUUAUAGCCAACCAAUAUAGCCAAUACCAUUGUAGCAAAAUGUAUUACAGGUUUAAUAAAUUUUANNNNNNNNNNNNNNNNNNNNNNNNNNNNNNNNNNNNNNNNNNNNNNNNNNNNNNNNNNNNNNNNNNNNNNNNNNNNNNNNNNNNNNNNNNNNNNNNNNNNNNNNNUAAUCGGAUUUGGGCUUCUACCAAACCUAAUCCGAUUUUGGUUUUAAUAUUAAAUUCGAAAUUCUAAUUACUUAAUUAAGACUGGCUCAAUUAAAUAAUUUACUUCGAACUUAAUCAUUUAAUUUAAAUUCAGAAUUUAAAUUAAAACUCCUUUAAACGUUCAAAGUGUGUGACCCUUUAGGUUAUUAUUACGUUGGCAAUAAUUUUAAUAUCCAAUAAUAAAAUUAUAAACAAUGAGCGGCAUCUAGUAAUACAUCAUUGCUACCCAAGUAAUAAUAAUAAUUGGUGAUUCAAUUAAACCUUUUGUGAAUAAUGUACAAUGUAAUAUAAUCCCUUUAACCUUAUAUUAUAGAUCAGACUCAAGGCAUGUAUUGUGUCAUCCUCUUCAUCGUCUAAUCCGAAUUUCCUUGAUCAAUGAGUAGACUAUUAAACAAAUCAAUAUUUGAGCACGGCCAUGCAUUUUAUAGUCUCACUCAAUCAAGAGGCCAAUAAUAUCACUCCUAAAAUAGGAGGGUUAAAUCCUUUAUAGAUCAUUCAUAUUUCUCAUAUGAUUCAUAAUAUACCCAAUGUACAUUUCAUCAUUACCCGGUCAAAGGUAACUUUUAGUGCAACCAAAGUAUAUUAAUUCUCAUAUAGAAAUAUAAUGAUAUCAAGUCAGAGGAUCAUUACAUCAUUAUCACAGUGAGAAUUUCCAAUGACACUUAUUAACAUGUAAAAUCUCACGGUGGGUCAUUCCAGUGCCAUGUGUCGAUACAUGCACUUAUGUUCUUGACUUUAGCAUCACUAUACCUAUGAUCAAUGAGAUGUGAUCAUCAGUCAACAAACAUACUAGUCUUAAUGCAUCAUUAUUGUCCCUUAACAAUAAUACUCGACUAGGGACAUUUAGGAAUAUUGAUAUUAUUCUCAUAAUCUCAUUUCUAAGUCACGUACUUAGAGAUAUAGAAUUACAUAUAAUAUUCCAAGGACAUUUAUUAUGCUUUCAAUUUAUUACGCAGUAAAUAAAGACAUAAUAAAUAUUUAUUCAAUAAUCAAUAUAACAUAAUCCAUAAAUGUCUACGAUAGAACACAAUAGUAUUGUCUCUAGGACACCAAUACUAACAAUUGGUACAGUUAACACAUUAAUAUACAUACGUGCAUAAAUGAAUGUAUAUACAAAUUUCACUAGAAGAUCAUAUCCAUAGUGGCAUCACUCGUUAGCCUGAUAGAUAUCAAUACAAGGACUCGCACAUAUUUGAAAAAACAACUUGUAUCUAAGUUGUACUUCUGAGCAGCUUUGGUAGGGCUGAUUUGCCAAGCUACCUUUCGAAACUUCUUGAUUCCGAAGUUAUAUUUCCCUCGGGCAUUCCAUGACAGCAACAUUCCAAAGACUCGAAGACAGAAAAAAUGCAGACCUUGCAACUGGGAAUCACGGCCUUUAUUAUCUCCGCUGCUGUUAUCGGCCUCUUGAAUUCUUUUUACAGUAUGUCUUACAGUAUUUUUGGGCAACUAAUCAUCGGCAAGAACAAUUUGUGCUCGACAAACACUGAUUUACUGAGAUAUGAUGGUAUCUCUGACACCUGAGAGUUCAAUAUUUGGGAAGUCGGGUAUCAGUUCGAUAAUGAAUACCUUACUAUAGAAUGCGGAACAAACAGUCUUAAUGAUCUGUAAAGACUUAUACCACACUAAAUUGACAGAGCAAAACAUGAACAUUUACAUUACAGUAUGCAGAGUAACAAGGACAGCAUAAAUAUCCAGCAUGCUAAAGUAAAAUAAUCAAAUUUGUGAAAGAAACAAUACGAACUAUGAAGCAAUAAUCCAAUUAUUAGGCAAAGAAACCCAUACAUAAUCUCAUAGUGGAAGACUAUCAACUUAACUAGUCAGUUACAUUUUAUGUGUUCUGGUUCUUCAUGUUCACGUUCGUCUCUUAGUUUUCACUAGUGCUCUUGAUGAUUGUGUGCGAUUCUUGGAUGGUGGCGAUGGAAGUGGUGUAGUGGUGACUUAAUUAGUGCGCGUUGUAAUAUUAGAUUAUUCUGAUUGACUAUUUUUAUUGCGUGAUAUUAGUUUUAGCUUUGUAAUUUUGGAUAUGGUUAGGUUUUAAUGGUAGUAAUUGUAGAAUUUAAUUUUGGUUAUUUUUGAAUGACUAGUUGACUCUUUUAAAUUUGUUCAUUUUUGGAUUUUGACCUUUCUUUAAUUUGAAUUGUUGUGUUUUAUUAAAAGAUUAAUUGAUAGAAUCUUUAUUGCCGAUUAUUGUACUUGAAUUCCAUUAUUAUCAUAAAAGAUGGCUUUAUUGUGCCUUAAUGAGGUAUUACUGCACCAUUAAUAGUUUAUUGGUGUAUACCAAAUUUAUGUUGUGAUUAGCUAAAAUCGUGAUAAAUUUGUUUAUCAAGAUUUUGUUUUGUAUUUGAUUAGAUAUAUCUUAACUAUGCUUUCAGAUUUUAAUUAUAUUUUCUUAUCUAUAUUUUAAAUAUUUAUUGACAUAAUUAUCAGUUAUUUUUUGAUAGGAUUUAUAUUUUAUUAUGUAUAUAACCAAAGAGAUCUAAUUAUCUCUUUGGUGUAGAUUUUUUAAUGAUUUGUUUUACAUAAACUUUUGUUUUUACUUUCCUUAUUCUUUAAAAGUUAUAUUAUAUUCAUAUUUUUAUUUAUGAGUUUGCUAACGCUUUUUCUCUACCUUUUAGAUAGUUUUAUUAUUUUUGUUGUAUGUAUGAACUUAUUAUGUUUUCAUUUGUAUUUUAUUUUUUCAGGGUACGCGAGCGGAAGAUAGAAUGGCGGGACCUCUUAUGGGGUUUUCUUAUCGAAAAUUAAAGUUUUAUUGUCUAAGUGUCUUCGGUCAUCUCUGCAUGUCCGAGGGUUAGAUAUUAAACUUUCUUGAACGAAAAGAACUCCUUGCGGCGGAUUUUGUAUUCUGAUACAAUUCGUUAUACGAGAAAGUAUUUUGUGACAAAAAAAAUAUGUACAUUUGUAUCUCUAGUGUGUUGCCACACGAUACAGCAUUUAUUACUGCUGCCUGUACAAAAUCCAUGCAGUCUUGUAUUAAGAUGAUUACGUGUAUACCAUCAUGGCUACACAAAUAGAAGUCAAACUCAGUGGGAUGGCAGAUGGUCAUAUCUACAACAGUACCUGAUUAUACAUACAAAAGCCAGUUAUUUGCUAAUCAGACUAAUAAAGAUUUUUAAAGAUGCAAUAGAACAAUAUGUAACCAGGUGAUAUGUUGCCACUCCGAUCAGUUGAUUUCCUGUCAUUGUAAAUAAUUUGAUUGCAGCGCCUGGCAGACCUUAAAAACAGAUAUAUCUUCCCAUUCAUCAAACUUCAACCAUAGGGGUAACAAGUGAAGUUACGAUCACAAUCACGAUACACAACAAAAGAGAAAUCAAGACGGGGCGUUGUAAUUGGAUCAGCGCUUUGUCUUGCUCGCGCAGAUUGUCGUACUCGUGCUUUGGCAUAAAGGCUUGCCGGAGAGCGUUGUUGAAUAACGCCAUGGAUAUGUGUUGUUUGAUUUGGGGAUUAGGGUUCGGAGAUGACAAGUUAAUUGACUGUCAUGUACUCCCUCCGUCCCAAUGAAUUGUAUACAGUUUCCUUUUUGGACGUCCCACCAAUUGUAUACAUUCCAAAAGUAGUAAACUUUUAUAAUAUAAAACAUCAUUACACCAACUACUUUCUUCCACCGUCUUCAUUCUAUAAUAAUAUAAACACUAUUACACCCACUACUUUUCUUCACUAUCUCAAAUCUAUAAUUAAAUAUAAAUGGGUCUCAUCACUAUACUCACUUUUCACAUAACUUUACUCAUUUUUUACCUUUUUUCCAGAUCUCCGUGUCCCUGGGACGGAGGGAGUACUUAGAACAAGUCAUGUGGUUGAUGUACCCAGUGCAGGCAUAAAAUAAUCUGAAACCGAUUUAGUCCGGUCAUAAAUAAAUCUAAAACCGACUUAAUCACGCGCAUAAAUUAAUCGGGAAUAAUAUAAAGGUCCAAAACGAAUAAUAUUAAUAUUGUUUAUUAUUCUCCAAAUUUUAGUUAAUUUAUUAUUUUUGAGAGAUAAUUCUGUAUGUAUUUUUAAUUUUUAUAAAAUAUAAUUUCAUAAAUAAUUUGAUGGAAAAAUUUCUAGAUAUAAUUAAAAUUUUAAUUUCAACUAAAAUAGGAAAAUGACAAAAUGAGUCAUGAAAUUAUAUUUUAUAAAAAUUUAAAAUAUAAAUAAGGAAAUUCUUACAAAAUUAUAAACAUAUAUAUAUAUAUAUANNNNNNNNNNNNNNNNNNNNNNNNNNNNNNNNNNNNNNNNNNNNNNNNNNNNNNNNNNNNNNNNNNNNNNNNNNNNNNNNNNNNNNNNNNNNNNNNNNNNNNNNNNNNNNNNNNNNNNNNNNNNNNNNNNNNNNNNNNNNNNNNNNNNNNNNNNNNNNNNNNNNNNNNNNNNNNNNNNNNNNNNNNNNNNNNNNNNNNNNNNNNNNNNNNNNNNNNNNNNNNNNNNNNNNNNNNNNNNNNNNNNNNNNNNNNNNNNNNNNNNNNNNNNNNNNNNNNNNNNNNNNNNNNNNNNNNNNNNNNNNNNNNNNNAUUGUUUUUGUUUAAACUCUAAUCAAUUUGAUUUUGUUUGUUUAAACUCUAAUCAAUUUGUUUCGUGACAAAUUCAUAUGUCGCAUUCUAGCUUUCUCAUCGGUAUUACAUUCAAUCAUACAGAUUAUUACAAACAUCGUUAAGAUAUUCUAUAUUAUGAAUUAUAUAUUUUGAACAAGCAUCGUUAAGAUUUUCAUCUAUAUUUUUUAUUUUCUUAAAAUUAAUAUAUUUAACUAAUCAUCACUUGCUUGUACAUUCAUCUAACAAUAAAAUGUUUUAUGUUCUUCCAUCACUAAGAUCACAAAAACAUCCAACUUCGGCACCUAAACAAAUGUAAUAUAACCCGGAAGAAAAUUGGUAAAUUAUGAACCACUGUUCCAAAAUGCAGAAUCCUGUUUUAACACACACAAGCUUAUUAUAUACAUUAUACAGGUCAAUAAAUAAACAGACAAAUACUAGAAAUACUUCAAGUAACUUAACGGUUACUUGAACAUCAUCUAUUUUAAGUCUUUUGAGCCCUGAUCUUACAUAGGAAUAGCGGGCCUUAGAAAAUUGUUUUUCAUCAUUUUAGCGGGCCUUAGAAAAUUGUUUUUCAUCAUUUUGGAGCAUCAUCUUCAUUGUUUACUGCAAAUCAUCUUCUUUGUUUACUGCAAAGAAGAAUGUGAAAAUCAAUGACUUUCAUACUAGAAAAUUUAAUAAAUUUCAAGCACAUUAUAACUUAACUAUAAGCAUACCUUCACCAUUUAUGAGCCAUCCGUCUCCCGGAUAUUAUUAAACAAAACAAUCUUUACGUGAAUAAGAUUGUAUUGAGUUUGCUUUAUGGCAGGGUCCAAUCUUUACGUGAAUAAGAUUGUAUUGAGUUUGCUUUAUGGCAGGGGCGGCUAGGAGCUUAGCACAAAAUUCUAGCCACCUACAUAGAGCUCGCUGAGGGAAGAUGGAUUGUGCUUUGGAACAAGGUCGGAAAUGCCUAGAGGUGGUGCCAGCCUCUAGGUUCUUUUACCUCAUCAGCUGCAUAAACACAAACACUGGACACAGGGCACAGUGGACAUAUAAUAUAUCUUAGACAAAUAAGGACGGAAAUUUCAUAAUUUUGCAUAUAUUGUAGGAAGUGUACAUAUAAAAAUCAAUUUUGUUGUUAUACAAAAAUCAAGCGAUGGGUGAGGAAUACCAUCUCGAGAAAUGUUGGCAUUUCUCUUUGUCCACUUGGUGCCAAUUUUGGUAUAAUUAAUUUUAUUCCUUGCCGACCUGACAUAAUAAAUUUCAACAUUUCAUGAAUUACAUAUUCUACGCAUUAAUUAAAAAAAUUAACAAUUAUGAGACUACUUCAAACUAAUUUAUAUCCUUUCAGAUAUCACUAUAAAUAAAGUUCAUACAGAAACCUAUAAACGUAAAUGCACAGGCUACAUACAUAAUUUAUCACAAAUUGCAAGAUAGUGCCGCUUAGAUGCAUCCUCUAACAGUGUUUUGAAUUAAAUAAAUGUGAUUCAACAAGAUAUAACACAAUAGUAUAAACAAAAUCUGAAUUCUUAAUGCCCAUCCAUUGUUAAAUUUCGAGACUGUGUGGUUUCCCUUUAUCCUCUCUGUCCAACAAGCAAUGAUCUCUUAUAACAAUAGAAAGCUAAAGUAUUUCCAUAGACAUACAGAAAUCAGAAAGUAGUUUACUUUUCUAAUUAACUUCUACACUAUACUACAAGAAAAAGGGUGCUCAAAACAAACACAAAAUAUUCCGAUACAGUUUACCAACACAAUCACGAUAUGUUCAAAACAGACCACAAUUACCACAGGUCGUUCAAAACUAAUCACAAAUUACCCUUAUCCAGUGACAAAAUAUUCCGAUACAGCCAACCAACACAAUCAAGGGCACGGUCAAUCAUAAAAUAUUCCGAUACAGCUAACCAACACAAUCAAGGGCACGAUCUACCAGUUAUCGCAUAUAUGUUCAAAAGAGACUACAAUUAAAUGAGAUUUAGCUAGUCAAUUAAACAAGCCUUUCAUUGCAGAUCAGAAUUUUACCCACUGAGGCAGCAAUAGAACAAAGUUUUGUUUUUCUGGAGCAUCUUCUUCAUUGUUUACUGCAACAAAAAAAGCGAUAAUUAGCGAGUUUCUAAUCAGAUAAAUUAGCUAUAAAACAAUCGGAAUUGAGAAAUCUAAGGCUUAAAAACACGAUACAUAUACCUGUUUUUGGGCGUCGAAAAGAAUAACAUAACGAUUUUGAAACAUCGAUCCAGCGAUUCAGCACUGAAUUAAGAAUACACUCGGCGUGCCCUAGUCUAAUUGGGAAGCCGCCGCCUUAACCUGCACGAGGAGUUUACAGGUGAUUUUAUUCCUAAAACAUAUGGGCUAGGGUUUCUUAUGAAUAAUCUGAAUGGGCUUUUUUUAAGUGAUGGGCUAGAGUUUAAUCUGAAUAAUCGGAAUGGGCUUUUUUUAAGUGAUGGACUGUUAUUGUGAUUGUUCAUAAACACGUUUGACAGUUUUUAUUUUGAAUCAGAUUAGAUGAUGGUGAAAAGCUCGGUGGCGAUAUAUACUGAUUUUCUUCACUAAAUCAUGGAUCAAGUUCUCCGUAGUUUAAAAUUUUUAAAAAUGUUGAAAGUUUUGAUAUUUAAGCAAAUUUAUUUUAAAAUAUAUGAUAAUAAAUCCAUUUAUAAAAAAAAUAAUAAAUUUAAAUUUAAUAUUAAAAUAUGUAUCAUAUUAUAAAAAAAUAUUAAACAAAAAUAAAUAAAAUCCAUCAAUUAUAGGUAUAAGGUUUGAAAAAGAUAUAAUUUAUUUUUAAAUAUUAAAUAUAUGUCUGCUAAAUUUUAUUUUGUAUAAUAAUAUUAAUUAUUUAGCAUGCAAUUUAUAUCAAAAUAUAAUAAUCGAAAAUAUGGAUAUUUUGUAGUUUGAAUCACUUUUCACUAAAUUUCAUAUCAAAGUUUUUGAUAUACAUUUUUUCAAAAAAAAUAUGAUCAUAGUCUCGGAAAAAAAAGUAAGUCUUUUCCUAUAUCAAAAUAUUUUAAAUGAAUUUUUAAAUUCUAAUUUGAUAUUUAUUAAUGUAGGCAGUUUUUAUUUUUGAUAUAUUGAAAAAAUUAGUUUUGAAAUUUUCCUCCAAUAUAUCCGAAACUCAAAAAAGGUAAUUUUUAUUUUUGAUAUUUUCAAAAUUAAAAAUAUAAUUCGAAACUUUCUUCCAAUAAUUUUGAUACAGAAAAAGGUAGGUAGAUUUUAUUUUUGAUAUACUGAAAAUGAUAGUUCUAAAAUUUGCUUCUAAUAUACCCGAAACUAAAAAAGUAGUUUUUAUUUUUGAUAUUUUUCAUCCAAAAAUUUCAGAAAAUUGGAGGAAAAAAAGUAAGUUUUUUUUUCGAUAUCAAAAUAAUCGAAAAGAAAUUUCAAAUUCUGAUUUGAUAUUUAUUAAGUUAGUUAGUUUUUAUUUUUGAUAUAUAGAAAAAUGAGGUUUUGAAACUUUCCUUCAAUAUCCGAAAUUGAAAAUGGUGAUUUUUAUAAAAAAAAAGUAAUGUAGAUAGGUAGAUUUUAUUUUUGAUAUUUUGAAAAAGAUAGUUCUAAAUUUACUUCAUCGCGUAAUAUAUUAUUUAUGUUCCAAUAGGCAUAAUCACAAAUUCUGCUCACUCGAAGUCGAGUCCAACCCGUGACCAAGGAUACAAGUCUUCGCUUUUAACCUAGUUGAACCAACCCUUUCCGGCAAAAUAUGUAUUUGAUAUGGGGCUAAAAAUGCAAAAACCGAAACGAAAAUGAGAUAUAUUUGAGGCAUAUGGUCGAAAAGCUUGAACAUGUUUGUAAGUUUUCUAAAUUAGGGUGAGACUCUUUUAUAUAUUUCUAAAUUAUAAAAAAUCGUGUUUUUCAACCCCCCCUUUUUGGGACACAGUUUAAACUUUAAACCUCAUUAUCUUUGUAUCACCAUCAAAAUGAGAUCAUUCAUCUUUUUAUAACCGUCAUAAUUAACUUUGGAAGAUAUAAAGUUCUCAUAUUGACUUGCAUAGGAAACUGGAAGCUCAUACUAAUAUCAAUAAAUCUUCGCGUACAUCCUUAUGCACUACUAAUUCACUACCUAUAAUUUAGGAAUAGUUCUAACUUAUACCCACGGCUAAGUCUUCAGGAUUUCUUAUCACUUCAGGUUAACUGUAAAUUAAAAAUACACUUACAAAAAUUAUAACCUAAAUCUUUUUUUUUUCUAUUUUAUUUAUUUAAUUUAUUAUCACAUAUUUCACUUUUAUUAUAUAACCUUUAUAUAAUUUAAUGAGCCUAAUAUAUCUAUAAAAUAACUAAUAUAUAUUCUUUAUUAUAAAAUUUUAAAGUAAUAUAUUCUUCAUACUAAUAUAUUCUUUUACAUUUGUAAAAUUUGACAUUCUUUAUUAUAAAAUUUUAAAAGUAAUAUUAAUUACAUAUACGUCAAGUGAGUAGCAUGUAAACAAUGAAUUUUUUUUACAAAGUGCUGAAUCGAUCCUCUGUCAUCACACAAACGUAUUAUAUACAUUAUAUAGGUAAAUAAAUAAACAGACAAAUAUAAAAACUACUUGAGUAACUUAGAUUUUAAGUCUUUUGAGCAUUGAUGUUACAUAGAAAUAAGAAUAAGACAAUAUGGUAAGGAAUACAUUGGUAGGUUAAACUACUUGGAAAAAAUCAUCUACGUUGCCAGCUUUUAACUUAGUUCUUGCAAUUUCAAAAGUUCCCGAUAUGUCGCGUUGUUUUAUCUUCAACGAAAUAACCAAGUAGACAAGCAGUAGCUUCUUAAUAGCAGAUAAGUAGCAGAUUAGCCAGCCUUAGAUAACUGUUUUCCAUCUUUUUGGAGCAUCAUCUUCAUUGUUUACUGCAAGAAAAAAUUUGAAAACCAGUGAAUUGAAUACUAGAAAACUUAAUAGAUUUUCAAGUACAUUAUAACUAUAUAACAAGCAUACCUUCACCAUCUCUGAGCCAUACGUAUCCCGGAUAUUAAACAAGAGAUAAUCUUCACGUGAAAAAAGAUUGUACUGAGUUUGUUUUACAAUACCUCAAAGUGUGUACGAAAACCUACCUUUAAAAAGAAGCAAAGAUAUAUCAAAACUAAUAACUUUCAACCAAACUAUACAAUAUACAAUAUAGUACGACAGAGAGUUUAAUACUUCCUCUGUCCCGGUUACAUUUUAACCGAUGUUUGACUUUUUAACACGUAUAUUGAGAUGCAAAAAAAUAAUAUCUACACUGAAUAAAAAAAAAUUCAAUUCUUAUACCAAAUAAUAGUUUAGAUUCUAAACGUUUAAUUUAUAUGUAUUUUAUAAAGAAUUAUUAUGUUUAGAUGUGAUUUUCUUAACACCUUAAAAUACAUGUAAAAAAGUCUAAAGCAGUUAAAAUGAGACGGAGAGAGCAUAUAGAACAAGAUAUUUGUGUGCACAUAAAGUCUCUUACCUCAACAAUAUUUCCUCUAGGAAGGCCGACACCCAAUGCAAUGUCCAAUGUCAGACAUGCCAACAAGUUAGAAUCUCCAGCAUGCACCAUUCCAAAUAACUAAAAUAAGAGCAAAAUUAUAGACUUCAAACAACUAAUUAACGACCAAAAAAUUAUGGCUAGGAACAGGAUACAGUAAACAGAAUACACAAAAUAACAAGUAUAUAUCACAUUUCCACAAUGACAAUUAACAUAAGCUGAUAACAUUACCGUAAAAAAACACAUAAAACCCUUCCCACCACUAAUACACUUCUUCUAUCCCUGUCAAACAACACCUCAAAUGUUCUUCGCAUAUAAUUCCUACGUUUUUUGCUAUAAAUUACCCUACAGCACAACGAAGAUGCCCAGCCUGUGAUCGCAUAAUUGGGACCGUGUAUUGGGACGAGGAUGAAAAGAACAUCAUCGGUGUGUAUCGGUUUCUUUCAGACAAAAGUGGAAGCGUUAAACUCCUUUAAUAGGUCUUAGCAGAAAUGUAAUUAAAAAAUAACUGGGGUAUGCUUGUCAUUUCACAAGUACUAUUUAGGUAUAUUUUUCCCGUGGUUGGCUUAUUAUAUAUAGUAGUAGAUUGUUCUCGCCAAUUGAGUGGUGCGGAUAAAAAUGUUUGAUACUUCUACAGACAUACCAAAAUUUAAUAUUUUUAUAUUAAUUCCCUAAUUUUUCUAAAUUAAUAUAUUUAUCAAUUCGCAGUUUCAGACCGAUACCGGAAGGAUAUGAUAAUAAAAUUUUCAUUUUAUAAAUUUCUUGUACAUUAAUCAAUAAUAUGUUCUCUGUUCUUCCACCAAUAACUUCACGAAAACCUUAACUUUGGCACCUAAGCAAAUCCUACAAAAUCGGUAGAAAAUUGGUAAACUAAGAAAAAUCAUUCCAAAGUACAGACUCGAUCUUGGGUUAACAAACACGUAUUAUAUACAUCGUUUAGCUCAAUAAAUAAAUAGACAAAUAUAAAAACUACUUCAAGUAACUUGCACGUGCUGAACAUCAUCGAUUUUAAGUCUUUUGAGCCCUGAUUUUACAUGGGAAUAAGUAUAAGACAAUAUUGUAAAGAAUACAUAUGCAGAACUGCAUGGAAGAAGGUUAUCACUUUUAACUCGGUUCUUGCGAUUUCAAAAGUUCCACGAUGUGCUGCUUCGUUCCUUUUAUCUUUCUCUUUGUAGAAGCCAGUUUAAUUUUCAUAUUACCUUCUUGGUUAUCUUUUGUACAAGUGGUAUUGCAAGUGUUUUCA
This 15728-nucleotide long non-coding RNA is filed under the name Daucus carota (carrot). RNAcentral describes it as "long non-coding RNA (DCAR_LNC000054)". Lineage: Eukaryota; Viridiplantae; Streptophyta; Magnoliopsida; Apiales; Apiaceae. The record is from RNAcentral.